UACAGAGGGGGCAAGCGUUAUUCGGAAUUAUUGGGCGUAAAGGGCGCGUAGGCGGCGAUUCAAGUGACGGGUGAAAUCCCUCAGCUUAACUGGGGAACUGCGUCCGAUACUGGAUGGCUUGAGUUUGGGAGAGGGAUGCGGAAUUCCAGGUGUAGCGGUGAAAUGCGUAGAUAUCUGGAGGAACACCGGUGGCGAAGGCGGCAUCCUGGACCAACACUGACACUGAGGAGCGAAAGCCAGGGGAGCAAACAGG
This 253-nucleotide ribosomal RNA is filed under the name uncultured bacterium. RNAcentral describes it as "partial 16S ribosomal RNA". It matches the Rfam family "Bacterial small subunit ribosomal RNA", at positions 524 to 776 of the family's 1533-position model. The record is from RNAcentral.